RNAcentral lists this long non-coding RNA (559 nucleotides) under Linum usitatissimum (flax). RNAcentral's name for it is "long non-coding RNA (LUSI_LNC002605)". The record is from RNAcentral. Lineage: Eukaryota; Viridiplantae; Streptophyta; Magnoliopsida; Malpighiales; Linaceae.
UUCAGAUGGUUACCUUAUCCAAUGUUGAGUAGAAUCUUGAUGAUUACAGUGACAGAAGCUUGAUGAUCCCAAAAGCUCCUUAACAGCAGAAACCCUAAACAAGAACGAGAAACAGAAACGUUAAUUGCUUCUGGGAAAAGAACAGAAAUGCAUAUAUGGAAAAUCAGAAACCCUAAUCGGCUUACCUUGUUCUAACCCUACAGUACUCGCACCAAAACUUGAUGGAUGAUGAUGGCCACAGUCCACAGAUUGACAGCUCCAAAACCUCCACAAUACACAUGCACGAACACAAAGAGUCAAGGACUGGAGUUUUAACCCUUUAUUUCAGCAGAAAACCUUCAGACUCAAUGAAAAAACGAAUCAAAAACCUAAACAACUUACUCUCUGUUUUUUCUUAGUAGUGGUCGUUGCUAGGAGUCUGCAUGUGGCUCGAUGUUAAGGUACUGCUCCCAACACAGAAAGGGGACCCUAUAUAUAGAGGACAAGUUGUGAGAAACUCAUAAUACACGAAGAAGAAGGAAAGAAUAAGUGCAUGCAUCGAUAUUAUAUGACUUAUCUG